GGCAGCAGCCGCGGGAACACCGGCGGCCCGAGCGGUGAUCGUGAUUAUUGGGUCUAAAGGGUCCGUAGCCGGUUUGGUCAGUCCUCCGGGAAAUCUGAUAGCUCAACUAUUAGGCUUUCGGGGGAUACUGCCAGACUUGGAACCGGGAGAGGUAAGAGGUACUACAGGGGUAGGAGUGAAAUCUUGUAAUCCCUGUGGGACCACCUGUGGCGAAGGCGUCUUACCAGAACGGGUUCGACGGUGAGGGACGAAAGCUGGGGGCACGAACCGGAUUAGAUACCCGGGUAGUCCCAGCCGUAAACGAUGCUCGCUAGGUGUCAGGCAUGGCGCGACCGUGUCUGGUGCCGCAGGGAAGCCGUGAAGCGAGCCACCUGGGAAGUACGGCCGCAAGGCUGAAACUUAAAGGAAUUGGCGGGGGAGCACAACAACGGGUGGAGCCCUGCGGUUUAAUUGGACUCAACGCCGGACAACUCACCGGGGGCGACAGCAAUAUGUAGGCCAAGCUGAAGACUUUGCCUGAAUCGCUGAGAAGAGGUGCAUGG
RNAcentral lists this ribosomal RNA (542 nucleotides) under uncultured archaeon. RNAcentral's name for it is "bacterial SSU rRNA". It matches the Rfam family "Archaeal small subunit ribosomal RNA", at positions 457 to 997 of the family's 1478-position model. The record is from RNAcentral.